This 254-nucleotide ribosomal RNA is filed under the name uncultured bacterium. RNAcentral's name for it is "partial 16S ribosomal RNA". It matches the Rfam family "Bacterial small subunit ribosomal RNA", at positions 524 to 776 of the family's 1533-position model. The record is from RNAcentral.
GACGAACCGUGCGAACGUUAUUCGGAAUCACUGGGCUUAAAGCGCGUGUAGGCGGGACGGCACGUCGGUCGCUGAAAGCCCCCGGCUCAACCGGGGAAGGGGCGCCGAUACGACCGACCUGGAGGGACGUGGGGGGACCUGGAACUUCCGGUGGAGCGGUGAAAUGCGUUGAGAUCGGAAGGAACGCCCGUGGCGAAAGCGAGGUCCUGGACGUUUACUGACGCUGAGACGCGAAAGCCAGGGGAGCGAACGGG